GGUCGAGUGGUGUAGUGGUUAUCACGUCAGUCUCACAAGUUUACUUGACUCCAGAAGCCAAGGACGAGUGCUCCACUGAAGGUCCCCAGUUCGAUCCUGGGCUCGAUCA
This is a non-coding RNA of Echria macrotheca, 109 nucleotides long. NCBI's taxonomy places the organism in Eukaryota, Fungi, Ascomycota, Sordariomycetes, Sordariales, Schizotheciaceae. The record is from the annotation of a GenBank genome assembly.